CACGUGACACUCUUUGCCAAAGAAUUAAACACUUUCUCUCACUUUGACUGUCUCUAUGCCUUCACCGUGAACGUUCCUUAUUCAUCUUCUUCCCUUCAUUCAACGUUUUGAAGAAUUGCUUAGACGAAAGAUGGAGAUAGUUAGACAAGAUGAAUGGCAUAGAACAAACAUGGAUGAUGGAGAUAAUUAAACAAGUAGGAUGGCAUAGAAGGAACAUGGAAGAUGAAGAUAUUUAUGUGUUUAUGUUUCUGAUAUACUAGCAAUACUAUUUUUAAUUUGGUGUAUGGAUUAAGUCAUUGUGCUAUUAGUAAUCUUUUUUAUUUGGCGUAUGAAAUAUUUAAGCUAUUUGGUUGAUGCCACAAUUUAGGCUAUUUGACUAUUUUUGAGAACGCAGAAUUUUGAAGUAUCAGUAUGUAUACAAAAUUGUAUGUGCAGAACAGCAUGGAAUAAUUAAUUUAGUGAAUGCAGAAUUUAAGUUA
Medicago truncatula (barrel medic) is the source of this 479-nucleotide long non-coding RNA. RefSeq lists it as uncharacterized. The record is from RefSeq and is a predicted model, not a curated record. The transcript has 2 exons. NCBI's taxonomy places the organism in Eukaryota, Viridiplantae, Streptophyta, Magnoliopsida, Fabales, Fabaceae.